AGGACCUGGGCUGACACACUGAUUAACAGGGGAACAGAUGAGGACUGGGUUCAGAGGCCUACUGUACAUUUGAGUACUCACUGCAGGUUACCACUGAGCCAUCGGACGAGGAUGCUGACCCAUAAUGAUCCUAAAAUCCUCUGGGUACUGAUCUACCUGUACCUGGUCAGAGCCGUUGCUGGGGCUGGCAGGAACCAAAUCUGCCUCUUGGAUACUGAGAACUAAGGCUUUGUAGAACAUCUUUUUCUCUUUUAAAUUGCAGGUGUCCUAGCUCACUUACUUAUGGUUUAUGAAACUAGCCAAUUCUACUUGAAGGCCAGCCUGAACGAGCAACAGCAAGCCGACUCAGAUGAUAGCAUCAGCUCAUCCAGCUCUUUGGUCAAAACCAUUGCUCUCAAUAUCACCAUUGCCCUUGCCAAUAAUCAUAAUAAGAGCUAACAUUUAUCGAGCACUUAAUUUGUGCCAGGCAGCCUGCCAAACACCAUGCAUGGAUUAUCUUAUUUGAUUCUCAUAACUACUCUGUAAGGUAGGCCCCAUUUUUUUCCCCAGAGAAGUUAAGUAUUUGCUGAAGGCCACAUGACUAAUAAACGGCAAAAUUUAAAAUCAGGUCAAUCUCAUUUCACAGCCUGUGCUCUUAACUACUAGAAUGAGCACAGCUGUCAGUGAUACAUCCGGGUGAGGACCUCAGACUUGACUCCCUCUGCCUGAUUGCUCGGUAGGGCCCUUCGUCAGCCUCAAAUCUCUCUCGGGUGGGAGGUGGUGUGGGAUGGGGUGGAUUUGGACCAGGGGUUGGGUCUCAGUUCUCCUGCAGGCAAGUCGGUAGCUUCCUAGCUACAGCAGGAAGACAGUAGGAACACUCUAAUCCCGAGGGGCCAGCUGGUAGAGGAGCUGGCGUGAAAGGAAAGCCUGGCCAUUUUACUCUUUACGUUUGGGGACACCAUGCUCAUGAAUGAUCUAAUCGAGCAUUCUUGGGCUACAAGCACAAAAAGUAAACAGAAAUUAUUUAGGCAGGGCUUUUUUCCCCCAAAAGUCCAGAGUGAUUUUACCCAGAGACAAAGUCCUCAUUUGUUCGUUAAUACCACUUCAUGGCAUUGUGACUGCCUUAAUUGCCGCCAGUCCUCCUGUGGCUGAUGAAGUAUCUGUUCCUUUAUGACCCGUGGGAUGCACAAGGUUUAGCAUAAUAGCACCGCCUCCAUUCCCGUGGCAGCUCAGCCAGCACCCAGGCACACACAGACCAUCAUUUGAGUCAAUUAGGAAACUACUGAGUGUCUCUUCAGUCGUUCAGCCCACGCGGAUGCUAGGUGCUUGUUAAUUCAGUAUUAGCGCCCUGCUGCUCCCUUCCUUCCCAGCUCCUCCAUUUCAGCACUGUGGUGACUUAGCGGCUUGUGCUUCAUGUUUCUUUUGCUGCCUUUAAGGACCUGCCUCUCUGAUGAAAAUGGACUUCCUAACUCUGUGAUACCGUGGAAUCUUAGAGAGGAUGUCACUGCACCCUGCCCACCAAUUUGAUGUGGUUUAAGGUGCCAGCUGCUGAUAUCUGCAGGCUGCUAACAUGACUGCUUAACCACCUAUCUUGGAACAGCUUGGUAUAGCAAGCCCAGGGGUGGCUGCUAGGAAUUCUGAACCAACGCAAAAUGGAGAAGCCACCCUUCUCGAUGUCAACAAGGAAGUCAAUGUCAAUGGAUUCUGAGAAGUGAUGUCCAACUCUGGAGUGAAAGUGGCCUCAGGAUCAAGAAUUAUUGUAGAACUAUCAAUGUCAGUCUGUCCAGUUACCAGUGGGAGAAAUUUCAAAACUCCAUGCCAGCUCUCCAUUCCCCGUGAGCACAUAACUCCAUGGUCGUGCAGAGCACAAGCCUACUGAACGCCCAGACUUUGAAAACAACUCCUACUCAGCUCUACACACUAUCACAGGACUCAGGAGGUAGAGAAGUUGCCUGGACAAAAUAAUCACAGCCUUUAAUUUUUCAAACACCCAAAAAUGGACUUCGGUGAAUCUGGUAACUGGCUCUUUAAGGAAAAUAAAAUGACAAUGAUGAUAUCUACGACAAUAAAACCCAAAUAAUAUAUUCCCUUUCCAAACACAAGUGUUUCAAAAUAAAAAACAGAUGAAAGUUUCUGAUAGGCCCCCAAAAAAUUACUCACUUUUCUUCAAGUCUUUAAUUACUAGUGAGAUUAUCUUUUCAUGUAUGAACCGGACAUUUAUAUAUCUUCUUUUCUAAAUUGCUAUUUUUGUUGUUUCCCCGCUUUCUAAUGGGAUAUUCAUUUGUUAUUUGUUUGUUAGAGCUCUUUUUAUAUUAUAUCUAAUAACCCUUUAUUAUAUGUGAUGGUGAUUUUUGUCCUCAGUUUGACAUUUAUCUUGACUAUGGUGUUCUUACUAUAUGUAAAUAUUUUUUAUUAUUAUGUAUUCACAUGUAUCAAUCUUUUAUAGCAUCUGCCUUUUAUGUCAUCUUUGGAAAAGCAUUCUUCAAUACAAGAUUAUAAAAAUACUCACCUAUAGUUCCUCAAGUAUUUUUAGGGUUGGUUUUUCUUUUUUUUUUUUAAUGUUUAAACCUUUAAAUUAUGUGGAAUUUAUUUUGCUUUAAGGCAUCGGAUAGGAUUAAACUUAAUUUUUCCCCUGACUAUCCAUUUGUUCCAGUAUCAUUUAUUGAAAAAUUCUUCUUUUUCCUCCACCUUCAUCUUAUACAUUCUCUAUGUGCCAAUGAAAAGGAAAAGGUUACUUAUUUUAAUUUUAUUGGGAAUGAAUACCAG
Molecule: long non-coding RNA, 2745 nt
Organism: Equus caballus (horse)
Lineage: Eukaryota; Metazoa; Chordata; Mammalia; Perissodactyla; Equidae
Source: Ensembl